Molecule: small nuclear RNA, 134 nt
Filed under: Leptotrombidium deliense
Lineage: Eukaryota; Metazoa; Arthropoda; Arachnida; Trombidiformes; Trombiculidae
Description: U11 spliceosomal RNA
Rfam family: U11 spliceosomal RNA
Source: Rfam by way of RNAcentral
GAAAAGGGUAUCGACCAGCAGGAUGGUCCACGUGUUGCCAAUUGGUGACACUGUGCAGAAUCGUAAUCAAGAGAUUCUGGAUACACAAUUUUUGAAAAAUGGGGCUGCGAAUAGCCGUUGUCUUUUGCGCCCCU